RNAcentral lists this ribosomal RNA (407 nucleotides) under uncultured bacterium. RNAcentral describes it as "bacterial SSU rRNA". It matches the Rfam family "Bacterial small subunit ribosomal RNA", at positions 989 to 1396 of the family's 1533-position model. The record is from RNAcentral.
CCACUAGAACCGCAGAGAUGUGGGCGUGCCCGAAAGGGAACCUAGACGCAGGUGCUGCAUGGCUGUCGCCAGCUCGUGUCGUGAGAUGUUGGGUUAAGUCCCGCAACGAGCGCAACCCUUGCCAUUAGUUGCUACAUUCAGUUGGGCACUCUAAUGGGACCGCCGGUGACAAACCGGAGGAAGGUGGGGAUGACGUCAAGUCCUCAUGGCCCUUAUGGGUAGGGCUUCACACGUAAUACAAUGGUCGGUACAGAGGGCUGCCAACCCGCAAGGGGGAGCUAAUCCCAGAAAGCCGAUCGUAGUCCGGAUUGUAGUCUGCAACUCGACUGCAUGAAGCCGGAAUCGCUAGUAAUCGCGGAUCAGCAUGUCGCGGUGAAUACGUUCCCGGGUCUUGUACACACCGCCCG